RNAcentral lists this ribosomal RNA (497 nucleotides) under uncultured Sphingobacteriales bacterium. RNAcentral's name for it is "bacterial SSU rRNA". It matches the Rfam family "Bacterial small subunit ribosomal RNA", at positions 885 to 1382 of the family's 1533-position model. The record is from RNAcentral. Lineage: Bacteria; Pseudomonadati; Bacteroidota; Sphingobacteriia; Sphingobacteriales.
GCCAGCCCGCUCAGAAACUCAAAGGAAGUUGACGGGGCCCGCACAAGCGGUGGAGCAUGUGGUUUAAUUCGAUGAUACGCGAGGAACCUUACCUGGGCUCAAAUGUAUGUUGACGUAUUCUGAAAGGGAUACUUCUUCGGACAAUAUACAAGGUGCUGCAUGGUUGUCGUCAGCUCGUGCCGUGAGGUGUCGGGUUAAGUCCCAUAACGAGCGCAACCCCUACCUUUAGUUGCCAUCAGGUUAAGCUGGGGACUCUAAAGGAACUGCCUACGCAAGUAGUGAGGAAGGCGGGGAUGACGUCAAAUCAGCACGGCCCUUACGUCCAGGGCUACACACGUGCUACAAUGGCCGAUACAGAGGGCAGCUACCUGGUGACAGGAUGCAAAUCUCCAAAGUCGGUCUCAGUUCGGAUCGGAGUCUGCAACCCGACUCCGUGAAGUUGGAUUCGCUAGUAAUCGCGCAUCAGCCAUGGCGCGGUGAAUACGUUCCCGGGCCUU